This 68-nucleotide transfer RNA is filed under the name Goniurosaurus luii. Its description in RNAcentral is "tRNA-Trp". Lineage: Eukaryota; Metazoa; Chordata; Lepidosauria; Squamata; Eublepharidae. The record is from RNAcentral.
AGAAACUUAGGUUACACACCRAACCAAGGCCUUCAAAGCCCUAAACAGAGAUCCACCUCUAGUUUCUG